This 82-nucleotide transfer RNA is filed under the name Triticum aestivum (bread wheat). It matches the Rfam family "tRNA". Rfam says of the family: Transfer RNA (tRNA) molecules are approximately 80 nucleotides in length. Their secondary structure includes four short double-helical elements and three loops (D, anti-codon, and T loops). Further hydrogen bonds mediate the characteristic L-shaped molecular structure. tRNAs have two regions of fundamental functional importance: the anti-codon, which is responsible for specific mRNA codon recognition, and the 3' end, to which the tRNAs corresponding amino acid is attached (by aminoacyl-tRNA synthetases). tRNAs cope with the degeneracy of the genetic code in two manners: having more than one tRNA (with a specific anti-codon) for a particular amino acid; and 'wobble' base-pairing, i.e. permitting non-standard base-pairing at the 3rd anti-codon position. RNAcentral also lists the same sequence under 1 other name. Lineage: Eukaryota; Viridiplantae; Streptophyta; Magnoliopsida; Poales; Poaceae. The record is from Rfam by way of RNAcentral.
GGGCCGAUGCCCGAGUGGUUAAUUGGGACGAACUAUAAAUUCGUUGACAAUGUCUACGUUGGUUCAAAUCCAAGCCGGUCCA